Molecule: small nuclear RNA, 104 nt
Filed under: Choloepus hoffmanni (Hoffmann's two-fingered sloth)
Lineage: Eukaryota; Metazoa; Chordata; Mammalia; Pilosa; Megalonychidae
Source: RNAcentral
GUGCUCAUGGCAGCACAUUUACUAAAAUUGGAAUGAUACAGAGAAGAUUAGCAUGGCCCCUGCGUAAGGAUGACACACAAAUUCGUGAAGCAGUCCAUAUUUUU